AGAGGUAUAGCUCAAGUGGUAGAGUGCUUGCUUAGCAUGCAUGAGGUCCUGGGUUCCAUCCCCAGUACCUCCU
Molecule: transfer RNA, 73 nt
Filed under: Camelus bactrianus (Bactrian camel)
Lineage: Eukaryota; Metazoa; Chordata; Mammalia; Artiodactyla; Camelidae
Also listed under: 3 other names
Rfam family: tRNA
About the family: Transfer RNA (tRNA) molecules are approximately 80 nucleotides in length. Their secondary structure includes four short double-helical elements and three loops (D, anti-codon, and T loops). Further hydrogen bonds mediate the characteristic L-shaped molecular structure. tRNAs have two regions of fundamental functional importance: the anti-codon, which is responsible for specific mRNA codon recognition, and the 3' end, to which the tRNAs corresponding amino acid is attached (by aminoacyl-tRNA synthetases). tRNAs cope with the degeneracy of the genetic code in two manners: having more than one tRNA (with a specific anti-codon) for a particular amino acid; and 'wobble' base-pairing, i.e. permitting non-standard base-pairing at the 3rd anti-codon position.
Source: Rfam by way of RNAcentral